GGCGAACAGAAACAUGGAUCCUGCAGGACUGAGUGAUGUGCAGAUAAAACAUGGAAAAGUUCAGACGGAUGACUGAUUUCCAUCUCCCGUUGCUGCUGAAGUAGGAUUGAAAGCUCCAGAAAAGCUCCUAAAGGAAUCUUAAGUGUUGGCACGGCGGAUACUGGAAUGGGAGCAGUGUAGGGAAAAGUGCCCUGCUCAGGGACACCUCGGUAGCACUUGGUCCUUACUUGAACCGGUGACCUUCUGGAUCACUGUGGACUUCGCCACCGCCAUCACAUUUCGCACCAUCUACACCACGACGAAUACCUUGUAUGCGUAAACCUGA
Molecule: long non-coding RNA, 325 nt
Organism: Eleginops maclovinus (Patagonian blennie)
Lineage: Eukaryota; Metazoa; Chordata; Actinopteri; Perciformes; Eleginopidae
Exons: 3
Source: RefSeq, a predicted model, not a curated record